GAUGAAAGCGAAAGCGCGCGAGGCGGCCGGGAGGCUAGAAAUGACGCGGGCGGGAGCGAAGGAAGCCUGACUAGGCCGCGCCACAGCAGGACAAGGAGGCUCUGGACGGGGGGGGGGGGGCUUCUUCGCGGUUAACUGAAUGGGACAGGGACACUCCUUUGCAGAGGCUCCGCGCUAUAUUGGAACCUUUCAUAGCAGGCCUGUAGGCCUCUCUGAGGAUUCUGGACUACAACUCCUAUAAUCCCUGAGUACGGCUGGGGCGGAGGGGGCUGCUGGGAGUUGGAGUCCAACGCUUAACGAUGGCCGAUUGGCCUCCGCCCGCCGGGCUGUCAUCCCAUGAAUUCCAUCAUGCUCAAGUUCCUUCAGAGAGGGGUGACUACAAUACCGCACAUCGCGGGUGGGGGAACAUCUGUGGCCCUCCACUUGUUUAGCAGCUCCCAUCAGCCCCUGCAGCCAGCAUAGUGAAUGGUCAGGGAUGAUGGGAGCUCAGUCCAGCAACGCCAUGAGAGCCAUAGUUUCCCCUGCCUUAUAGAAACGGAAGAAGAGGCUGCUGCAUUAAGACAAUGGUCCAACUAGUGCCUGAAUGAAAAGCCUGGAAGGAAGAUCCAAGUGCAGCAACACCCUCCCUUCCAGCAACUGGUUUUCAGAAGCAUUGCUGCCUCACAGCCACCAAGGGUAGUAGCUUUAACCUAAGAACAUAAGAAGAGCCUGCGCUAUCAGGCCAAAGAAGGCCUAUCUAGUCCAGCAUCCUGUUCUCACAGUGGCCAGCCAGCUCUCCACAAUCAGGACCUGAGUAGAAGAGCAGCACUCUUCCCUCCUGCAGUUUCCAGCAAUGGGUGUUCAGAACUUUCACUGCCUCUAACCGUGUAAGCAGAGCAGACCCAUCAUGCCAUAUAGACAAUACUUGUGAAAGUAAAUCUGCCUCUUGUUUGCAACAAAUAUUUCUUUGUGGGGUGGGGAAUGGUUAAUAUCUCACAUUUGAUGAAACCCACAUGAUUCUGCAUCUUUAGUGUAUUUAGAGCUCACAGCACUGCUGGAGAGUAACAGCUGGGGAAGAAGGUUUUUGCCUUUGAGCUCUGUGGGCUUCCUGUAGCAUCUUGUUGUCCAAGUGCUAUGGGGAAUAGAAUGUUGAACUAGAUGGAUGCUCAUUCUGGCUCUGCUUAUGUGCACUUGUAAUUAUAUUAACUCAGGAGUAAGCCCUAAGGUUGCUUGUACUUGGGGACAAGUAAACAUGCUCAGGACAGGGCUCUUAAAAAUUCCCCUUCAGCAAAUUUUGCACUGAGCUAUUGAAAUAAGUGGAAUCAACCUCUAUAACUUCUUAAAAUUUAUCUGGAUGGCCCCUGAAACCAUGUCAUGGGCAGAGGUGAUGACCUGUUAAUAUUUCUGCAGCAGGGUCACUGACUCUAGUAUCCAAGAGCUGCCCAAUUAGCAUAAAAUAAGAGUCUCAUUAGUCUUCUCACUGUUUAUACUGAUUGGAACCAAUCAGAGUAAAACUAUUAUUGUUGUAUAAUUAUAAGAUUAUUGUAGAAGUGGAUGCGGGUGUGGCUUUCAUAAAGGGAUCCUGCACUUUGUUACCAUGCUAUUGCCCACAGGUUCUUGCUUUUAGUUCCUACUUAACAGUGAGUGCGGUCCUAUCCUUAAGUUAUGCUGGUUGAAUUUCUGCUAGAUGUCAGUGGAACACCACUGAAGAAGAAGAAGAGGAGUUUGGAUUUGAUAUCCCACUUUAUCACUACCCUAAGUAGUGUCUCAAAGCAGCUAACAUUAUCUUUUCCCUUCCUCCCCCACAACAAGCACUCUGUGAGGUGAGUGGGGCUGAGAGACUUCAAAGAAGUGUGACUAGCCCAAGGUCACCCAGCAGCUGCAUGUGGAGGAGCGGAGUCGCAAACCCUGUUCACGAGAUUAGGAGACUACCUCUCUUAACCACUACACCACAUUGGCACCAGGGGCAAAACCAGUGGGGGAUACAGUGAAGAAAGAGCUGAUCUGUAUUCACAGAUGAGUACUUCCCUUCUCCCACUAAUAGUGUAUCAUAAAGAGGUGGUGUAAAAUGACACAGUUCCAGUUAUCAGAGAGCCCCCAAACUACGACCCCACUGCUCUGCUGGCUGUGGCUGAUGGAAUUUGUAGUCUAAAACAUUUGAAGGACACCAUGGCAAAGCUGCUUCACGUGUUGUAAAUGUUUAAGAAUUUUUAAAGUUUUUGUUUGUAAAAAAACCCUAGAAGAAACAUCUUAAAUUUGGCUUGUAUAACAAAACUUUCAUUGUCUGAUAUCUGUCAAGUGUUGCAUGUGGCAAAAAAUGACUAAUAAAUUUAAUAAUAGACAUAAAAAUGCUACAUAUGACUUGCUGUAUUUUUUAUGAAAGUGCAGUGAAUAGAAAAUUCAGUCAAGCAACCUAUCAAUUUUCUUUGCUGAAAUUUGCUCCCCCACCCCUAAACCUUUCAGUUGUUUGAGGUCAGAUGAAACUGAAAACAGUUCAGUGCCUUUAAAGAAAGGACUUAGCAUUAGAACAAGUCUGUGAAAGUUAAUGCAAAAGGUGAGCUUUUGAAAGGAAACAAUAAAGCAAUAAAACGGGAAUGAGAUGAGUUUAUCUCUACCACAGGCAGGGAGGAGAGGAAGGAGCCGAAAGCCUUUUGUGUGUGUCAUAGGAUCAAAGAAGGUAAAAGAUGUAGGAAAGCCAUUGAAAAAGUGUGAAAAUGUAUGCGUUAUAAGUACAAGUAAUCGGCACAGCAUUUUCCUUGCUUAUUCUGUAAGGUCAGUCUGCGUAGCAUUGGAAUUCGUAAUAAACACUCUUUUGUUUGAACACCGAACCUGGAUCAUUAAUUGGCCUCCCAGGUUGCCCGCAGGAAAGGAUUUUUCCUUAUCACUGUCACCAUAUACCACAAAACAGCCUCAACUAGGCAUAUGUAUUUCUUUCUAUUUUGAAAGAGCAAGCCUAUGCAGCUUAUCUGUAGUAUGACAGAGGCUACUGCUUUUCAGUACUCAGUAAGGAAAGCAUGCAAAAUAUCUGGAGCUGAGUGAUAAUACUGUUGUAGAAGAUGUUUGAUAUUUACUGAGGCCCUUUACAGUCUAUGUGGGCUGAGUUGCUUGGAUGAGUCAUGCAGUAUAUUACAUUAACAAAAGAGAUGGUACUCACAAUCCAAAUUUGAUGGUGUGCAUGUGUGUGUGAUAGAAAGGUAAAGGCAAUGUAUAACCUUUUGCCUAAAAAUAAUGAAAAGCUUAGAGUAUAACGAAAUAUAAAUUUCAGAUCAAGUUAGUCAUACUUAUUUUUAUGUGUGCGCUUAGGUUUUAUUUAUUUAUUAUUAUUGACAUAACUAUAGAAACAAAAACCUUUUCCAUCUCCUAUUUCCUUAACAUGCAUUCCAUAACUCAAAAAAACCAAAUUCCAUCUUUUGGCAAAAUCAGCACUACCUGGCCUUCCUUACCUUCUUCUGACUAGCUCCAUCAACUUGUCUGUUACAGCCAAUUCCAUACAUGUCAUCAGCCAUUCAUUCCCAUUCUGUCGGGCCUGUUGGCACUUCUAUUUUCUUGCCCAUUCAAGAGGGUGAAUCCAAAGAAAGACUUCAGAUGAUGUUCACAUGAGGGCCAUAAGGUCCUGGUACAUUUUGGUUGGCAGAGGCAGUGAGUCAGGUAUUGCAGUCCCGUGUCAUAUAGGGUUUUAUAGCUUAAAAACAACACUUUGAAUUGGGCCCAGAAACAUAGACAGCCAGUGCAUGCAUAUGGGAUUAUAUUGCAAGACAUCAUAAUUAAGUGACUAGCAUAAAUAAGGAGGACGUUAGAUAGCUCAGGAGUGGGUUGAGUUCACCAAGCUCUUCCUUCAAUCAUUAGCAGUUAUUAAGAUGCCCUCCCAUUUGGCAUUAUUAAUGGCCCAUUACCUUCCCUUUGUCUUUCUUAAUGGCUCUUCUCCCAGGUGAUUACCAGGCUGUCAUUGCUAUUCCAGCAAUUGAAUCUGCUGGAUCCAGGAAUUAGAAGGGGCACAGGUAUUAGGCAUUCAGCUUAACCACUCAAAACUCAUAACAGUAUUCAUGACUUACAUCAGGGGUCGGCAACCUAAAGCCCAUGGGCCUGUAGCCCACAAGGCUUGUCUAACCGGCCCAUGGCGACCCCUGCCCCCCCUGUUGCCCCUCACUGCCUGCUCUGACCGGCGCAGCAUGGGGACCGACUUCCAGGUUGAUGGUGCCAGUGCGCAUGCGCAUGGGCACUCCUCUGACCUGGAUGUGUGCCAGAAAUAGCGUGUGUGCACGUGUGCGGGGUGGAGAAGUGCCCUUCCGAACGCGCACAUGCUAUUUCUGCGCACUUCUGGGUCAGAGGAGUGCCGGAAAUAGUGUGUGCACGGGUGCCCCUCCAACCCGGAAGAGCGCGCGUGCGCACAUGCUCCAGCCCAUCUGACGGACGGAGCGUCGACUGGCCCAUCCUGGGAUAAGGUUGCCGACCUCUGACUUACAUCAUGUUGAAUGAAUCAAACCAAGGACUUGAAAAUGGGAAGACAUUCAUACAACUAUAUAACAAAUCAUACUAAAUCAUAUGAUAUACUAUCCAGCAUUUUAGCACUGCUGGUUUAUUGAAAUAGCUGCCAUUUCUAACACUGCAUUUAAAAUAUAAGAAAGCCCAUUUAUAGGAAAGCACCCUCAGAGUCAUUUGCCUCCUAAGAAAAAAUAACUGCCCCCAACAGACUUAAAGUGCAAUAUUAUCAUCUUCAAAUAGGGUUUUACUACAGGGUAAGUGUACCAGGUAGAAUUAUAGCCUUAUCGUGACUUUUUUAUUUUAAAAAAGUUAUAUCAAUUAUAAAGUCCAACUGAAAUCUACUGGAUUUGCCCACAUAUGUUUGACACCAGGUUGGCAUUAAAAAUAAUUUAAAUUAUUGCAUUAAAAAAAAAAGUUUCACAGGAAUUUCUACCACUUUCAUUUGGCAAUUUUUAGCUUUUUCCAUAAGUACUGAAGAAUGCAACAGUGGAAUUUGCUCAGAUUAAAUUUUUCAUAUGCAGGUAGGUGCUGCCAUCUAGUUUUUAGUGUGAACUCUGCUCCAUAUUCUGAGAGCCUUCUUUCAUGUGAGAUCAGCAACUCUAAGAGAAUGUACAGCAGUCUUUAUUUCAGAAGACCUUUUCUUUCCUGAAUUGUGUGAAACACCUAGAUCGGUCCAAAAGUCAG
Molecule: long non-coding RNA, 5145 nt
Filed under: Podarcis lilfordi (Lilford's wall lizard)
Lineage: Eukaryota; Metazoa; Chordata; Lepidosauria; Squamata; Lacertidae
Source: RNAcentral